Molecule: non-coding RNA, 781 nt
Organism: Austrofundulus limnaeus
Lineage: Eukaryota; Metazoa; Chordata; Actinopteri; Cyprinodontiformes; Rivulidae
Source: the annotation of a RefSeq genome assembly
CUGGMUCAGUUUUUUAUGCAGCUGUUUGUCAGUGUGACCAACUACGAACCUGCUUACUUUGGACCUGGAACCAAACUCACUGUUUUAGAACCAGGAAUUAACGUCACUGAACCCAAAGUUCAAGUUUUUGGACCUUCAGCUAAAGAAUGCAAAGAUCAGAAGAAGAAAAGGAAGAAGACUYUGGUGUGCGUGGCCUCUGGUUUCUACCCGGAUCAUGUCACUGUGACCUGGAACAUGACCGGGGGAGAACUGGAAGGAGCUGCGGCGACGGACGGUGCAGCUCAGAGAGACGGGGACUCUUACAGGAUCAGCAGCAGACUGAGGGUCCCAGCUGAGCAGUGGUUCAGUAAGGAGACCAACUUCACCUGCACCGUCACCUUCUUUAAUGGGAACAUCACCACUUCUCAUGUUGACUGGAUCACAUCAAAUCAGGAUGAUGCUGGCCUGACUCGAAAGAGAUAUCUGAGCAUCACCCAGAAUGCCAAACUGUCCUACGUUGUUCUGAUYWUGAAGAGCUGCCUGUACGCAGYCUUCGUCUGCUUCCUGGUCUGGAAGCUUCAGAGUUCAGGAAGAAAAGCGAAGAAGUGAGAGCUGAUGUGAUCCUCAGCAGAUCCACGUUUCUGCCUUCGGACAAAUCAAACCGAACAAACUGAAACUUCCUGUUUUUGCUUUUAGCUGAUUCAAUUCUCCAAAUGUUAGGGGUUUUAAAGUUUAUUCAUUUUUUUUAGUUUAUUCAUUUAAAACAAAACAACAUAAAUUCAACAUACAACAAAAAAUCUAA